UACAGAGGGUGCAAGCGUUGUUCGGAAUUAUUGGGCGUAAAGGGCGCGUAGGCGGCGCGGUAAGUCACCUGUGAAAUCUCCAAGCUUAACUUGGAGCCUGCAGGCGAAACUGCCGUGCUGGAGUAUGGGAGAGGUGCGUGGAAUUCCCGGUGUAGCGGUGAAAUGCGCAGAUAUCGGGAGGAACACCGGUGGCGAAGGCGGUUCUCUGGGCCUUACCUGACGCUGAGGAGCGAAAGCGUGGGGAGCGAACAG
This 252-nucleotide ribosomal RNA is filed under the name uncultured bacterium. RNAcentral's name for it is "partial 16S ribosomal RNA". It matches the Rfam family "Bacterial small subunit ribosomal RNA", at positions 524 to 775 of the family's 1533-position model. The record is from RNAcentral.